RNAcentral lists this small nuclear RNA (18 nucleotides) under Arabidopsis thaliana (thale cress). RNAcentral describes it as "snRNA_15286". The record is from RNAcentral. Lineage: Eukaryota; Viridiplantae; Streptophyta; Magnoliopsida; Brassicales; Brassicaceae.
CGACUGUGUUCUGCUGUC